This 656-nucleotide ribosomal RNA is filed under the name Halolamina sp. Its description in RNAcentral is "bacterial SSU rRNA". It matches the Rfam family "Archaeal small subunit ribosomal RNA", at positions 86 to 741 of the family's 1478-position model. Lineage: Archaea; Methanobacteriati; Methanobacteriota; Halobacteria; Halobacteriales; Haloferacaceae. The record is from RNAcentral.
UAGCUCAGUAACACGUGGCCAAACUACCCUACAGACAAGAACAACCUCGGGAAACUGAGGCUAACACUUGAUACGCGUUGACUGUUUGAAGACAUCGACGUUCAAACGCUCCGGCGCUGUAGGAUGUGGCUGCGGCCGAUUAGGUAGACGGUGGGGUAACGGCCCACCGUGCCGAUAAUCGGUACGGGUUGUGAGAGCAAGAGCCCGGAGACGGAAUCUGAGACAAGAUUCCGGGCCCUACGGGGCGCAGCAGGCGCGAAACCUUUACACUGCACGCCAGUGCGAUAAGGGAACCCCGAGUGAAAGGGCAUAUCGCCCUUUCUUUUCUGAACCGUAGGGAGGUUCAGGAACAAGAGCUGGGCAAGACCGGUGCCAGCCGCCGCGGUAAUACCGGCAGCUCGAGUGAUGACCGAUUUUAUUGGGCCUAAAGCGUCCGUAGCUGGCCGCGCAAGUCUGUCGGGAAAUCCACCCGCUUAACGGGUGGGCGUCCGGCGGAAACUGUGCGGCUUGGGACAGGAAGGCUCGAGGGGUACGUUCGGGGUAGGAGUGAAAUCCCGUAAUCCUGAACGGACCACCGAUGGCGAAAGCACCUCGAGAGGACUGAUCCGACAGUGAGGGACGAAAGCUGGGGUCUCGAACCGGAUUAGAUACCCGGG